Molecule: unclassified non-coding RNA, 376 nt
Filed under: uncultured bacterium
Lineage: Bacteria
Description: contains 16S-23S intergenic spacer region
Source: RNAcentral
UCCGAGUUGACCCCGGCAGUCUCCUAUGAGUCCCCACCAUAACGUGCUGGCAACAUAGGACGAGGGUUGCGCUCGUUGCGGGACUUAACCCAACAUCUCACGACACGAGCUGACGACAGCCAUGCACCACCUGUACACGACCCAAAAGGACCCGACAUCUCUGCCGGUGCACCCUGCAUGUCAAGCCCUGGUAAGGUUCUUCGCGUUGCGUCGAAUUAAGCCACAUGCUCCGCCGCUUGUGCGGGUCCCCGUCAAUUCCUUUGAGUUUUAAUCUUGCGACCGUACUCCCCAGGCGGUCAACUUCACGCGUUAGCUACGUUACCAAAUCCUUAAUUAGAUCCGACAACUAGUUGACAUCGUUUAGGGCGUGGACUAC